ACUUACGGCCAUACCACCAUGAACACGCCCGAUCUCGUAAACUAAGCAGGAUCGGGCCUGGUUAGUAAUUGGAUGGGAGACCGGCUGGGAAUACCAGGUGCUGUAAGCU
Molecule: ribosomal RNA, 109 nt
Filed under: Mola mola (ocean sunfish)
Lineage: Eukaryota; Metazoa; Chordata; Actinopteri; Tetraodontiformes; Molidae
Source: RNAcentral